This 253-nucleotide ribosomal RNA is filed under the name uncultured Oscillospira sp. RNAcentral describes it as "partial 16S ribosomal RNA". It matches the Rfam family "Bacterial small subunit ribosomal RNA", at positions 524 to 776 of the family's 1533-position model. Lineage: Bacteria; Bacillati; Bacillota; Clostridia; Eubacteriales; Oscillospiraceae. The record is from RNAcentral.
UACGUAGGUGGCAAGCGUUAUCCGGAUUUACUGGGUGUAAAGGGCGUGUAGGCGGGAGAGCAAGUCAGACGUGAAAUUCCAGGGCUCAACCCUGGAACUGCGUUUGAAACUGUUCUUCUUGAGUGAUGGAGAGGCAGGCGGAAUUCCUAGUGUAGCGGUGAAAUGCGUAGAGAUUAGGAAGAACACCAGUGGCGAAGGCGACUUACUGGACUGUAACUGACGCUGAGGCAUGAGAGCAUGGGGAGCAAACAGG